Molecule: ribosomal RNA, 471 nt
Filed under: Aspergillus sp.
Lineage: Eukaryota; Fungi; Ascomycota; Eurotiomycetes; Eurotiales; Aspergillaceae
Description: eukaryotic LSU rRNA
Rfam family: 5.8S ribosomal RNA (bases 104-257)
Source: RNAcentral
UAUCUGUACCCUGUUGCUUCGGCGUGGCCACGGCCCGCCGGAGACUAACAUUUGAACGCUGUCUGAAGUUUGCAGUCUGAGUUUUUAGUUAAACAAUCGUUAAAACUUUCAACAACGGAUCUCUUGGUUCCGGCAUCGAUGAAGAACGCAGCGAAAUGCGAUAAUUAAUGUGAAUUGCAGAAUUCAGUGAAUCAUCGAGUCUUUGAACGCACAUUGCGCCCCCUGGUAUUCCGGGGGGCAUGCCUGUCCGAGCGUCAUUGCUGCCCUCAAGCACGGCUUGUGUGUUGGGCUUCCGUCCCUGGCAACGGGGACGGGCCCAAAAGGCAGUGGCGGCACCAUGUCUGGUCCUCGAGCGUAUGGGGCUUUGUCACCCGCUCCCGUAGGUCCAGCUGGCAGCUAGCCUCGCAACCAAUCUUUUUAACCAGGUUGACCUCGGAUCAGGUAGGGAUACCCGCUGAACUUAAGCAUAUC